AGAGGGAGAUGAGGUCUAUUUCUGCAUUGGCUCUAGGAUAUGGUUUUAAGAUCCUUCCUGAGAAUUCAUAGCCACUGAUCAGCCUUCAUGUCAGUAGGGUGUGCAUAGCCUAGAAAAGUCACAAGUGGAGACUUUUUAAAAUUGGAGUACAGUUGACAUACAUGUUAUAUUAGUUCUGGGUGCACACCAUGGUAUUCGACGAUUCUAUUCAUCACUCAGAGCUCAUCACGUGGUGGGGAAACCGAUUUCCCUACGAAGUUGGGCGUGGCAUCAUGAAGGCUUUAUUCUGACAGUUCCGUGUAACUGAGUGUAUUCCAGUGGAAACGGAUUAGUCGGCCAGGUGGCUUGCCCACCAGACGUUCUUGCUGAAACUCCUCUGUGCGUCACCGGCCUCCAGGCACAAGAUUUCAGAUAUACGGAGAGACAUCCGGCACUCCGUUACUUAAGUGUGGUGUCUCACUUCUGAUAUCACAUUGGCUUCACGUGACCCACGUGCAUGCAUAAGGGACCCCACGUUCCAGUGCUGAAGAUGCCAUUUCCCAGCUGCAUGGAAACAACUUACCUAAGAUGCCCUAACAGUCUUUAUAAAGGGCCUUGUGAUUGCGCCCCUCAGAGGCCACACAGCAGACAGACGGUAGAAACACUCUGAGUCUCUCUCUUCAACACUGUCCUGGAAAGCCUGGGAGUAGAAGGAGCCACCUCAACCAACGCCAUGCAAAACCUGUGCUAGAGAACAUCGGAGAACCAGAAGCCCCAGGAGAAGUCAUGUGGCACAUUCCUCUGUGUUAUAGCCUGACCACAUCUUAACGGACCCAUGCACGCGACCAUCCGUGGGAGUUUUAAGUGGAAGUCUUCAUUUGCUUUGCGUUUCACUUGAUAUCUUAAAAAGUUGGUUGAUAUAUUUCUGUUCUGAGAUGGGCUAAGGCUGUGAUUAUUAUUAUCAUUAUUAUUAUUAUUUUUUUUUUUAGAGAGGGAGAGACUUGGGGAGAGGAGCAGAGAAAGACUCCUAAGCAGGCCCCAGGCCCAGCACAUAGCCUGAUGCGGGGCUCAGUCUCACAACCCCGAGAUCAUAACCUGAGCCCAAACCAAGAACCAACGGAGCCACCCAGGCGCCCCUAAGGUUGUGAUUACUAACCUUGAAUACCCCCAUUCUCCACCAAAAACUCAUUUAGGGAAGUGGGUGAACGCGAAGGUAUUAGAGAGUGGGAAGCCGAACUCGAGUUUUAUUUCUUCAUUUUUAAUGCAAGAGAUGAAGAAAAAAAAAAAAAGCCCCCGAAGCCCAACUCUGAUCCAUGCAGGGGUGAAAUUUGCCUUCUCCUCGGCUUUUAAAGUUUAAGAGGACCUUGUGCGGUUUUCAGUCAUUUGAUUCUUCAUUCAUUUAUUCAAUUUUUAAAAAAGAUUUUAUUUAUUUAUUUGACAGAGAUAGAGACAGCCAGCGAGAGAGGGAACAC
Molecule: long non-coding RNA, 1451 nt
Organism: Ailuropoda melanoleuca (giant panda)
Lineage: Eukaryota; Metazoa; Chordata; Mammalia; Carnivora; Ursidae
Exons: 4
Source: RefSeq, a predicted model, not a curated record